GACAGAGGGUGCAAACGUUGUUCGGAAUUACUGGGCGUAAAGCGCGUGUAGGCGUCGGUGCAAGUCGGAUGUGAAAGCCCUGGGCUCAACCCAGGAAGUGCAUUCGAUACUGCAUCGCUGGAGUCCCGGAGAGGAUGGUGGAACUCUCGGUGUAGAGGUGAAAUUCGUAGAUAUCGAGAAGAACACCGGUGGCGAAGGCGGCCAUCUGGACGGUGACUGACGCUGAGACGCGAAAGCGUGGGGAGCAAACAGG
RNAcentral lists this ribosomal RNA (253 nucleotides) under uncultured bacterium. Its description in RNAcentral is "partial 16S ribosomal RNA". It matches the Rfam family "Bacterial small subunit ribosomal RNA", at positions 524 to 776 of the family's 1533-position model. The record is from RNAcentral.